This 449-nucleotide ribosomal RNA is filed under the name uncultured bacterium. Its description in RNAcentral is "partial 16S ribosomal RNA". It matches the Rfam family "Bacterial small subunit ribosomal RNA", at positions 29 to 523 of the family's 1533-position model. The record is from RNAcentral.
AACGAACGCUGGCGGCAGGCUUAACACAUGCAAGUCGAACGAGAUCUUCGGAUCUAGUGGCAGACGGGUGAGGAACACGUGGGAACAUCCCUUUCAGUUCGGAAUAACGUUGGGAAACUAACGCUAAUACCGGAUACGUCCUUCGGGAGAAAGAUUUAUCGCUGAAAGAUUGGCCCGCGUCUGAUUAGCUAGUUGGUGCGGUAAUGGCUCACCAAGGCUACGAUCAGUAGCUGAUCUGAGAGGAUGAUCAGCCACAUUGGGCCUGAGACACGGCCCAACCUCCUACGGGAGGCAGCAGUGGGGAAUAUUGGACAAUGGGCGCAAGCCUGAUCCAGCCAUGCCGCGUGAGUGAUGACGGCCUUCGGGUUGUAAAGCUCUUUUGUCCGGGAAGAUAAUGACUGUACCGGAAGAAUAAGCCCCGGCAAACUUCGUGCCAGCCGCCGCAGUAA